AGGCUUUAUGAAAGGAGAGAAGAUUAGCACUGCCCUUGACAAGGAUGGAAGAGGCUCUUUGGACGACAACACACAUACAGUGAGCAUAAGGACCUCAUUCUAGACUUUGGCCCCAAAAUGUUGC
Heterocephalus glaber (naked mole-rat) is the source of this 124-nucleotide small nuclear RNA. The record is from Ensembl. NCBI's taxonomy places the organism in Eukaryota, Metazoa, Chordata, Mammalia, Rodentia, Bathyergidae.